GUAGGGAAUCUUCGGCAAUGGACGAAAGUCUGACCGAGCAACGCCGCGUGAGUGAAGAAGGUUUUCGGAUCGUAAAACUCUGUUGUUAGAGAAGAACGUUGUGUAGAGUGGAAAAUUACACAAGUGACGGUAUCUAACCAGAAAGGGACGGCUAACUACGUGCCAGCAGCCGCGGUAAUACGUAGGUCCCGAGCGUUGUCCGGAUUUAUUGGGCGUAAAGCGAGCGCAGGUGGUUUAAUAAGUCUGAUGUAAAAGGCAGUGGCUCAACCAUUGUGUGCAUUGGAAACUGUUAGACUUGAGUGCAGUAGAGGAGAGUGGAAUUCCAUGUGUAGCGGUGAAAUGCGUAGAUAUAUGGAGGAACACCGGUGGCGAAAGCGGCUCUCUGGACUGUAACUGACACUGAGGCUCGAAAGCGUGGGUAGCAAACAGG
This 430-nucleotide ribosomal RNA is filed under the name uncultured bacterium. Its description in RNAcentral is "bacterial SSU rRNA". It matches the Rfam family "Bacterial small subunit ribosomal RNA", at positions 354 to 776 of the family's 1533-position model. The record is from RNAcentral.